AGUGAGGAAAAAUAGACAUAGGUGUUGCUCUUCUGAACUUAAGUUCUAGAGUUAGAGAAAAAUAUUAGUCAGAUAUUAAUAUGUAUAAAUGCAAAGUUGGAACUGUUUUCAUUUGCUGUAGAGAAGUACAUGGUUUUUAAUAUGAGGGCUUUUGGAAGGAUAAUUUAAUCAAUUAGUGGGACCACACCAAGGGAAGGGUUUGUUUUUUGUUUGAGAAAGUGUUUAGUUAGCUGAAAUCUUGAUGAAUUUGAGUUACGUUGAUCAAGAGGGAGAAAAAAGUUGGUGGAAGAAAGGAGGAUCUAUGUACAAGAUCCUCAUGUGGGAAGAUUUUAGUACCUAACAUUAAAUGAAAGUCAGAAUGACAGAAGCCAAGGACUAGAGAGUGCAUGGAAAGAGGUUAUGCUAAGGAUUUAUGUCAGAGCCAAAUUGCAGGAUAUUGUGGGCCAAGGUUUUUUAUCCUUAGAGUUAUUAUUUAAAUUUAAACUAAUAUUCUUUACACUCUACAAAGACUUACCACUGCAGUUGACCCUUGAGCAGCUUGGGAGUUAGUGAUGCCACUCCUACAAGCAGUCAAAAACCCAAGGAUAAUUUAUAGUUGGCCUUAUUAUCUGAGGUUCCUCUGUGUGGGAAGAUUCAACCAAUUGCAGAUCCCAUAAUACUGUAGUAUUUAUUAUUGGGGAAAAAAAAUCUGGAUUUUUUGGAUACACAUAGUUCAGACUCCUGUUGUUCAAGAGUCAGCUGUACUUGCUCCGGUGGUUGUAUUCUAAGAGUUCAUUUUUCUUUCAGUUUAAGACUUACAGUGCUUUUCCUAUGGAAUCAUUGUUGUAGAGAUCAAGUCUCCUAAAACAUUUUUAACACAGUUAACAGUGGAAGGUAGUGAAUAUUAACAUUGAGCCCUUAAGAAAACUAGGUGGAAGAUAGAAAAGAAAAACAAAAAAGGGGAUUAAAAUUGGUAUCUCUACAUACUCAAGAGAAUGUCCUGAGUGUGAUUGACUGAGUUUGAAUAAUAAGGAAAAAAGUCUGCAAGUGUAGGAGGCUAGUGUAGGAGAUCCUAGCAAAUGAUUAUCAUAUUCAGUUGGACAGCUUAAGACCCUCACUUGGUACCUGUAUGAAGCAGUGUGAUAUCCGAAGCAUACCAAGGCAGGGAAAGUAGAAGACAUCAUAUUCACAAAUUCAAUGUUCCAAAUCUAGGAAAUAUUUGUGUCAAUGUUAUUAAAACAUAAAAUUAAAAAAUAUAUUUUAAGUAGAAUUGCAAAAUGGUAAUACAAUGCCAACUGUGUUUUGGUUUUUUUAGAGUAAAAAAGUAAGAAGUUAGAAGAAUUAUAUUUUACUAAUGCUCAUAUUUAUUUGUUUGUUUUUUGGUUUAUUUUUAGCCACACCCAUGGCAUCUGGAAGUUCAUGGCCAGGGAUCAAAUCUAAGCCUCAGCUGAGGCCUACAUCACAAGCUGUGGCAAUGCCAGAUCCUUAACCCUCUGUGCUGGGCCAGGGAUUGAACUCAUGCUACCACAGAGAUGAGAUGGCAUCCUUAACCUGCUGUGGCACAGCAGGAACUCCUGAAGUAGUACUUUUAAAGACAAAGUUGAAGGAAUUUAAUUUUUAAUCUUAUUUUCCAUUUAACUUAGAACAUCGUCAAUAAGAUAGUUUCAUUUCUUGUUGAUAUUUAAAUUUUAAGCCUCUUUGAACACCAGCUUACAUCUAUAUUAGUAAAUAAUCUAGUUAAUAAAGUUUAUUAAGAAUAUUAUAAAAAGAUGGAUCAGUUACUUGAAUUUUAUCAAGACCAAAAUGUCACAAAAAAAUGUGUUAAAUUGUAAGGAAAAGGUAAAAUAUAUGCAAGCAUUCACUGAAUAGUCAUCACAAUACUGUUGGUUGAGGAAUUCUGCCAGUACAUCAUCCUUUAUCAGGUGAUCUUGAACUUUAACUUUCUGGCAUUCUCAAGUAUGGCUUUUAAAGCAGAUUAACAUCUAAAAUUAAGAACUGCAGAAUUGACUUUAGUGGUUAUUUACUCAUGUAUUUGCACUUUUACUUACUUACAAAACAUUCUAAAUUAGAAAGUAUCACUACCAUUUAUUUAUUUAUUUUUGCAGUGUCUAGCAGACUACUGGUAUUCAGAGACCAUAAAUAUUUGGGAAGCUUAUUGGGGUUUGAAAACACAGUUUACUAAAUUUAUCUGAUAUCUCUAAGGGUCAUCGUACCUUUUAAACAGAAAUGAAGAAUCACUUGGAAAUUAUUAGGGAUUGAUGUGUUCCCUCUGUUUUACAGGUUUCUACUUGUCUAUCAAAGUAUAUUCCAAAAAUCCCUAGUUCUGUGAUAAUAGGUAUGGCCAUCCUCACCUAUCUCCCAUGAGAUUUCUUCAUUGACGUUUUGAAAACUUGAUUAAAGAAUACUGAACAGGAUUUUUUUUUACCAUAAUAGCAAUCACUAACAUUUAUUGAAUGCUUACUUUGUGCCAGUCACUAUGCUAAGAGUUUUACAUACAUUAUCUUAUUUAAUCUUAACAACCAGAAAAAACACUUGGAAGAAUAUUCAAGAAGUAUUUCCUUGUAUUACUUCACAGCUUAUAAGCACCAGUGCAAGAACUUCUGUUAAGAAUAUAAUAGUGAGAAAAAUACCAUUUUCUGUUCUUAAAAAUCCUGUGGCUUUGGGAAAGAAGAUUAUGAAAUUUAUCCUUAAAAUUAAACAUUGAACUUAAUAAUGUUUUCUAUGCUCUUCUAACCAUAGUAUUCACAGAUAAUCAGUGAAAACCAUUAUAUUCUUUUAUGACUAGGAAACAACCUUUAAGGCUUCAGAGAGAUGCCUGGGUUUGAACACAGGUUCUAUAGUGUUCAAACACAGGCCACUAUAGUGUUCAACUUUGGUGAGCUGUUAAGGUUCUGAAAUUGAGUUUCUCUGUAAAAUUAGUAUAGUGGUACAUUUCUCACAGAGUUAGUUGUGACUAUUAAGUGAUAGAGUACCAAGCGUAUAUGAAGUCCUAGCAUAUGGUGUACAUUCACUGAAACUUGGUUUUCUUUCUUUUUCCUUCUCUUCUUUUUCUGUUAGUAAUAACCAUGUUUUAGAAUCUUCAUGAAAUUAUAUACACAUUAAAUUUUUAAAUUGUUUUCCUUUUAAAAAGUAAUCUAUUUCUCCUAAAAUUAUUUUAAAACUUUCCUUAAAUUCUGAUUUGAGGGCUUGAUUUACUUCAUCUUUUUGCUUUUCUGCAUUUUGCUAAUGAAAUGGGCACUUGUAAAUGUUGUUGAACUCAGAUAUAAAUUUAAGUAGCCACACUUCAUUAAUGUAAACACUCUACUGAAAGCUUACAGCUAUGCUUUUGGUUCUUAUUAAGUGAAAGAAUAUUAAAUAGAGUUCCUUUUUUUGUCUUUAUUUCCCCACACUAAACAGGCGAUAGUGCAAAGAAGUUAAGUGCCUGGACUCUAGGGCAAAUCUGUUUGGAAUCAAAUCCCUACUUUACCACUUAACUAUGUGACACCUGCACCUCAAUUUACACAUUAGUAAAAUGGGAGUAAUAAUUGUGCCCACCUUAGGGCAUAUAUCUAUAUCUAUCUAUAUAUAACUGUUAAAAAUGCCUUGCACAUACUGAGUGCCGUAACAGUGUUAACUGUUAAUAGUGAUUAUAUGUAUUAUCUGUAGAUGAAUAUGUAUUAUCUGUAUAUCAGUUGUAUUAUAGAAAAAAUUGUUACUACUGUUCUGGUAAGAGUCUAAUUUGGUAAUUUUUCAUUUGGUAGAAUAAAAACAAAUUCAGUUUAAUUUACGGUUCCAUGAAAAGUAUGUAGCAUUUGUAUUUGCAAAUUCUUCACUUUUUUUUUUACUUCUUAAUCGUAUUAUUGGAGAUAGUGAAAAAUCCCUGUUGUUUCUGGUGAAGAAGCUAAGACAUAAGUAAAUUUAGGAGCUUUUAAAGCAUAGCAGUUUUUAAAGUUAGUAGAAAGUUAGUAUUCAGAGUAUUCCAUGUGCUAUUAUGUUGAGCCAUGCAUCUCUACUCCUUAUUAAAUAUUCAAACAACAAACCUAUUAGUUGGCAAACUAAAUGUUAAAGGGAUAUUAUUCUGUUCUUCAAGACUUUCAUUGGCUUAUGUCUCCUUUGGAUGUGUUCUCUUAAGAUUGAUUCACUUAGCCUUAAAUUAAUUCAAAGAUUGUAUGCAAAAAAAUUGUCUUUGCUGGCAUUGGACUAAUUAAAGCUAAGUGGUGGUGGCCCAGCUAUCCUUUAGGACAUUUGUGGGUGGAGUAUCUUUUUUAGUAAUCAGCUGCCUUCCCUUCCCGCCUCAUUUGAUGAAAUGGAAAAUUUCUCUACAAUUUCUCAUAGUAUCAGUAACCAUUGUAGUAAUACUGUGCUUUUCUGAACCAUCCAAGAAACUUAACCGUCAUUCUUAAUAUUAGUUUCUAUGAAAAAUGAUUCCAAGUUUCAAAGAAUAAAUUGAAAAGCACUAGGAUUAUAAGAACAGUUUUCUGGUUUUUUUUUAGAAAGAUACAUUAGAGAAACAUUUAAAAUAUUUGUUUUUUCUUGUUUAAAAUACUGCACAUUGUCUCUAAUUAAUCAAUUUAAGAAAGUUAUGAACAGUUUGUUUGGAAUCCAGAAAAUAAUAAAUGAUGAUGACUAGAAAACUCAAAAGCAUCCCUUUAAGAGAGAAUUGUAAAUGUUACUUAGACAAGUAAUAGAAAAGUGUCAUUUAGGAGUAGUAAAUAAUUUACUAUGAAUUUUCUCUUUAAAACUAACAAAACUUAAAACUUAGUAUUUUAGUCUAAUAAUUUGGAAAUCUUUAUAGGUGCUUUCACAUCAGUGCCACUUUUAUUAUAGAAAACUAAACAAGGAUAAAUUUAUAUAUGUUGAAAAUAGCAGUAUUGACUCAAACACAAAAUAUCCUGUUUUCCAUCCUUGUGAAAUAAUGUUUAAAUUGUAAACAAAUUUGGAAAAAUGUUUUUCUCUAUCUUUUUUUAUAUUUUUUAUUCUUAUUUUUUUUUAGUGUUUUCAUGUAUACACUCUACCGAUUAUUAGGGGCAUAGACUCAGGGAACCUAGUCACCUAAUAACCGAAUUUGAAAACUCUCAAAUUAUUUUGUAAAUCCUGUUGUGAUUAAACCACUUUAAGUUUCUCCUAAAAAAAAAGUCAAGUUAUGUUUAAAAUAAUCUUUUUUAAAGUUAUGGCUUCUGAAAAGGAUUAUUUCUUGAAAGGAGAUUGUGAACAUUUUAGAAUAUUAUUAAGGCUACCAUCAGCUGCUAAGGGACAUCAAAUCCUGACUCAAGGAAAUAGUAAUUUUUCAUAAGUAGGAAUUUUUCUAAAGUAGAGAAAAGAUGUACAUUGUUGUCUGUUACAUAUGCAAUUAGGUAAAAAAAGUCCUAGGACUUAAGAAGCAAUCUCAGGUUUUUCAUAGCGGUGUAGAGAAGUAUAAAUAUUUAUUCAGUUGCUUGUUCUACACAUGUUAACUACAUGAUAUGAGCCAUGUAUGCAGCAAUAAAUAAGACAGGUAGGUAUAUGAUAUCAUAUUUGUCUUUCUCUUUCUGACUUACUUCACUCGGUAUGAGAGACUGUAGUUCCAUUCAUGUUGCUGCAAAUGAAAAGACUUAGAGAAAAGACUUGUGGUUGCCAAGGGGGAGGGGGAGGGAGUAGGAUGGAUUGGGAGCUUGGGGUUAAUAGAUGCAGACUAUUGCCUUGGGAAUGGAUUAGCAAUGAGAUCCUGUUGUGUAGCACUGGGAGCUAUGUCUAGUCACAUGAUGGAGCAUGAUAAUGUGAGAAAAAAGAAUGUAUACGUGUAUGUGUAACUGAGUCACCAUGCUGUACAGUAGAAAAAAA
This 5778-nucleotide long non-coding RNA is filed under the name Sus scrofa (pig). Its description in RNAcentral is "lncRNA (ENSSSCG00060066637.1)". The record is from RNAcentral. Lineage: Eukaryota; Metazoa; Chordata; Mammalia; Artiodactyla; Suidae.